AACGAACGCUGGCGGCAUGCCUAACACAUGCAAGUCGAACGCGUGGAGCGAUCCACGAGUGGCGCACGGGUGAGUAACGCGUGGGAACCUGCCCUGGAGUGUGGGAUAACCCGGCGAAAGCCGGGCUAAUACCGCAUACGACCUGAGGGUGAAAGGUUUAUCGCUCUAGGAGGGGCCCGCGUCGGAUUAGCUAGUUGGUGAGGUAAUGGCUCACCAAGGCGAUGAUCCGUAGCUGGGCUGAGAGGAUGAUCAGCCACACUGGGACUGGGACACGGCCCGGACUCCUACGGGAGGCAGCAGUGGGGAAUCUUGGAAAAUGGGGGCAACCCUGAUCCAGCAAUGCCGCGUGGGCGAUGAAGGCCUUCGGGUUGUAAAGCCCUUUUGCACGCGACGAUGAUGACGGUAGCGUGAGAAGAAGCCCCGGCUAACUUCGUGCCAGCAGCCGCCGUAA
This 451-nucleotide ribosomal RNA is filed under the name uncultured bacterium. RNAcentral's name for it is "partial 16S ribosomal RNA". It matches the Rfam family "Bacterial small subunit ribosomal RNA", at positions 28 to 523 of the family's 1533-position model. The record is from RNAcentral.